CACCAGGUGGCUGAAAGAAAGCAAUGGUCUCUUAAACCAACUCAUAGUAACUAACACCUACUCCUGGUGA
RNAcentral lists this transfer RNA (70 nucleotides) under Anaplecta calosoma. RNAcentral's name for it is "tRNA-Lys". It matches the Rfam family "tRNA". Rfam says of the family: Transfer RNA (tRNA) molecules are approximately 80 nucleotides in length. The record is from RNAcentral. Lineage: Eukaryota; Metazoa; Arthropoda; Insecta; Blattodea; Anaplectidae.